RNAcentral lists this ribosomal RNA (506 nucleotides) under uncultured Lachnospiraceae bacterium. RNAcentral describes it as "partial 16S ribosomal RNA". Lineage: Bacteria; Bacillati; Bacillota; Clostridia; Lachnospirales; Lachnospiraceae. The record is from RNAcentral.
CACGUAGUUAGCCGGGGCUUCUUACUCAGGUACCGUCUUCUUUCUUCCCUGCUGAUAGAGCUUUACAUACCGAAAUACUUCUUCACUCACGCGGCGUCGCUGCAUCAGGGUUUCCCCCAUUGUGCAAUAUCCCCCACUGCUGCCUCCCGUAGGAGUUUGGGCCGUAUCUCAGUCCCAAUGUGGCCGUCCACCCUCUCAGGCCGGCUACUGAUCGUCGCUUUGGUAGGCCGUUACCCUGCCAACUGGCUAAUCAGACGCGGGCCCAUCUUAUACCACCGGAGUUUUUCACCCUGGGCCAUGCGGCCUGGGCGCUUAUGCGGUCUUAGCACCUAUUUCUAAGUGUUACCCCCUGUAUAAGGCAGGUUACCCACGCGUUACUCACCCGUCCGCCACUAAAGUAAAAAAUGUUCCGCGGCAGUAAACUGCCCCUUCCUUCUUUUACUUCCGUUCGACUUGCAUGUGUAAGCACGCCGCCAGCGUCAUCCUGACGCCAGGACUCAAACUCU